This 490-nucleotide ribosomal RNA is filed under the name uncultured bacterium. Its description in RNAcentral is "partial 16S ribosomal RNA". It matches the Rfam family "Bacterial small subunit ribosomal RNA", at positions 29 to 507 of the family's 1533-position model. The record is from RNAcentral.
AGUGAACGCUGGCGGUAGGCCUAACACAUGCAAGUCGAACGGCAGCACAGGAGAGCUUGCUCUCUAGGUGGCGAGUGGCGGACGGGUGUGGAAUACAUCUGAAUCUGCCCAGUCGCGGGGGAUAACGUAGGGAAACUUACGCUAAUACCGCAUACGACCUUCGGGUGAAAGAGGGGGAUCGCAAGACCUCUCUCGAUUGGAUUAGCCGAUGUCGGAUUAGCUAGUUAGCGGGGUAAUGGCCCACCAAGGCGACGAUCCGUAGCUGGUCUGAGAGGAUGAUCAGCCACACUGGAACUGAGACACGGUCCAGACUCCUACGGGAGGCAGCAGUGGGGAAUAUUGGACAAUGGGCGCAAGCCUGAUCCAGCCAUACCGCGUGGGUGAAGAAGGCCUUCGGGUUGUAAAGCCCUUUUGUUGGGAAAGAAAUCUUUCAGGCUAAUACCCUGAGAGGAUGACGGUACCCAAAGAAUAAGCACCGGCUAACUUCGUG